UACGGAGGGUGCAAGCGUUAUCCGGAUUUAUUGGGUUUAAAGGGUGCGCAGGCGGGGCCUUAAGUCAGUGGGGAAAUCCCUUCGCUUAACGAAGGAACUGCCAUUGAUACUGAGGUUCUUGAAUCUAGUUGACGUUAGUGGAAUGUGUCAUGUAGCGGUGAAAUGCUUAGAUAUGACACAGAACACCGAUCGCGAAGGCAGCUAACGAAGCUAGUAUUGACGCUCAGGCACGACAGCAUGGGGAGCAAACAGG
RNAcentral lists this ribosomal RNA (253 nucleotides) under uncultured bacterium. Its description in RNAcentral is "partial 16S ribosomal RNA". It matches the Rfam family "Bacterial small subunit ribosomal RNA", at positions 524 to 776 of the family's 1533-position model. The record is from RNAcentral.